GAUGAAGAACGUAGCGAAAUGCGAUAAGUAAUGUGAAUUGCAGAAUUCAGUGAAUCAUCGAAUCUUUGAACGCACCUUGCGCUCCUUGGUAUUCCAAAGAGCAUGCCUGUUUGAGUAUCAUUAAAUUAUCAACUGUACCAAUUUGGUUGCAGAUUGGGUGUGGGAGAUUUUGCAGGCUUUUGAUUUCUCUUUGAGAAAACGGUCAGCUCUCCUGAAAUAUAUUAGCAGUGCCUUUGUUGGUUCAUUAGGUGUGAUAAUUUAUCUACAUCUUCACAUGGUACCUUCAUUUGUGUAGAGGUCAUAUUGCUUCUAAUUGUCUUUGGACAUAGAAAAAAAAAAACAUAUAAUUGUAUGGAAAACUUGAUCUCAAAUCAGGCAGGACUACCCGCUGAACUUAAGCAUAUCAAUAAGCGGAGGA
Molecule: unclassified non-coding RNA, 418 nt
Filed under: soil metagenome
Description: partial contains 5.8S ribosomal RNA, internal transcribed spacer 2, and large subunit ribosomal RNA
Rfam family: 5.8S ribosomal RNA (bases 1-120)
Source: RNAcentral